UGAUUUAUUAAGUAUGUCACAUUCAUGUUUAGACCUUUAACCCUUUUUGACAUAUUUAAUCUAUUUAGAACUUAUUUAAAGUAUGCUUAACAUAUUUCUGAUUUGUUUAACCCAAUCCACUUAACCUAUUUAAUCUAUUGAAUCUAACUUGACUUAUUUAAUAAAUGGAUUAUUUGGAUUGGUGUAAAUUACUUUUUUAAUAUAUAGGUUGGGUUAAGAUCUAAAUUAUCAAUCUAU
RNAcentral lists this long non-coding RNA (237 nucleotides) under Elaeis guineensis (African oil palm). RNAcentral's name for it is "long non-coding RNA (EGUI_LNC016959)". Lineage: Eukaryota; Viridiplantae; Streptophyta; Magnoliopsida; Arecales; Arecaceae. The record is from RNAcentral.